Molecule: RNA transcript, 2447 nt
Organism: Helianthus annuus (common sunflower)
Lineage: Eukaryota; Viridiplantae; Streptophyta; Magnoliopsida; Asterales; Asteraceae
Exons: 11
Source: RefSeq, a predicted model, not a curated record
UGGCAUUAUUUUAAUCCUCUAAUUGCCACCUGGCAUUUGCUUAAACCAUUACUCUUCUUUUUGAGCGGCAAUUUGUUUACAAGAGGCUUCUCAAACACGCAUUAUUCAAAAACCCUAAUUAUCAUCUUCUUCAAUUCUCUGGCGAUUUCAUACUUCUUCAAUUGUCUCAAACACAAAAACUCUAAUCCAGCCCUUACGCCAGGAAAGGCGGGCCGUCAAACUGCAGACCUAAUACAAGUAGGCCAAAAGAGGGAAGGAUAAUAUGGUAAUAGCUGCCAAUGCCAUUAAAUGUGUUCAAAUGUUUGACAUCUGUGCUAAGGGUAGAUAUAACAUAUGGAGAAGAGAAUAUGAAGGUCCAAAUUUAGAUUCUACUAUGAAACUUAUGUGUGUCCAAAUCAUAAUGGCAAAAGCCUAUGUAAGUAUUUUGAAUGCCAAAAAUGAAAGUGGUAUCAAUGAUUCUCUACUUAAAACACUCUAAAAGAAGUCAGCAAGCAAUUGAAAGGCUACUUUUGAUUGUCAACUUGGGCCAAGGGUGGUGCGAAGAAGUUGGUGAUCUCAGCUCCAUAAGCCGAUUCACUUAUGUUUGUCGUAGGAGUAAAGUAAAGACGAGUCUUGAUCUCCUGAAGUGAUUAGUUUGCCAUUAAAAAUAGUUUUUUGUUUGCCUUUCACAAAUAUUCAUAUCCAGCCCUCCCUCCCCCCCCCCCAAUUGAAUUAGAUGACUUUAGCAUGUCAUAAGUAGGAAGGUCAAAAUGACCGUUGUAGAAUCACUUUUGAUUCUCCACUUUUUCUUGCAGUAAAGGAACAACUGCAGCUAUCACAUGUUAAGAUGGUUCAAAAUUUAGCUUAUUUAGAACUAAGCGCCCACUUAAUAUUCUCAAGGUAGACCAAAAUUUGUUUUAAAUUAUCAAAACACGUUGCUUUCAACUUAAAAGUGUUUUAAUCAUGUAAUGUACUCUUUUGACCUUAUUGGGUUUGUACCGGUUAGGGUCGUAUAUUUUAUGUUUGGGACAUGUUUCAACCCUUGAUCGUUAAUGGCCGACGGUAGUUGCGUUGGUGGCCAACUUCUGUGCAGCGACAAUAUAAGUUCUAUUUUACAACUGAUGACUACAGGUUACUCAUCCCAGCAAAGAUAACUGUCGUUAGGAGGUUCAGGAUGGUUCAGGUUUAAUCAAGAAGCGCUAUCUUCUGAUGGAUAAAAACAAGAUUACUUGCAGUGUACAUGAAAGCGAAGAAAAAUGGGCAUGUCCAUCACAUGUAAGACAAAGAUAUAUGGUCUGUUAUUUGAAAAAAACAUACACAAUAAGAUGCCAAAACAAACAGGUAUCAUGUAGUUGUCAACAUUGGCUGAUGGUACAGAAGUGCAACAACCCUGUUCGACUCUAUAAGAACAAUACUCAGAAGACCUGGUCAUUAAGUACCUUAGGUAGUUGUACCGCUGUAUGGUGAUUAUAGUUAACUUCAACAUACAAGAGUUAGGAGACGUUAUAAAGUUGGUUGGGAGGAGACGUGAAGCACCUUUAAACAUACGUUGAUGGUGUAUGUUUCGUUUUUAUCAGAUGUCACAUGUUUAACAACUUGGGGAAUAAUAUAUACGGAGGGAAUCGUGAGGAUAUUCUACGACGCAUGGUUUUAUUCUGCAAAGCAGCCGUUGAGGUUCCUUGGUACGUGCCAUGCGGGGACGUAUGCUAUGGAGACGGAAAUUUGGUUUUCAUUGCAAACGAUUGGCAUACCACAUUUUUGCCAGUUUAUUUAAAGGCAUAUUAUCAUGACAACGGCUUGAUGCAAUACACAAGAUCCGUGCUUGUGAUCCAUAACACAGCUCACCAGGGGUGUGGUCCGGUUGAUGAUUUCAGUCACGUGGAUCUACCACCACACUAUUUGGAUCUUUUCAGAUUGUAUGAUCCUGUAGGAGGUGAGCACUUCAACAUCUUCGCUGCGGGUCUCAAAACAGCCGAUCAUGUAGUAACAGUGAGUCAGGGAUACACGUGGGAACUAAAGACCAGCGAGGGCGGUUGGGGUCUACACAACAUAAUUAACCAAAACAAUUGGAAACUAAGAGGUCGAGUUUUAUGAAGUCUAAAUGAAAAGAGAAGACCCAUUCAUUCCAUGGUUUAGCUGCAUCUCACAAACUCUUAUGUUACUACUGUUGUCUUCUAUUUUUAAGGUUAAGCUACAAAGCAUUGGUAUAAGGGCGAACGUAAUAGCAAAAUAGUACUCUUAACACUUGGUGGGGAAUAAAGGUAAUUUUGAGCCUGGGAUCGUCAUUGGAGAGCAAGUACAAGGAUUGGUUUAUAUUGUCUUCUAGAUCGAUUUAUGGGAUUGUAUACACGUCUUUUGAAAAAUAUUAUGUAAAUAAGUAUUACGUUCUAUUUUUUUAUUUCGCACUGUAUUAUUUGUUCAACACCGCGAAAUUCGCGGGUAUUAGAAUUGAAUACGGAUUUCAUUAA